CGGGGUGGCUUUUCAAACCGUGGAGGUGAUGGAUAUCGUAGGACUGAUAAGAUGGGGAACAAUGGUGGCCGUGCUAACCGUGAUGGUGGGUUGGCUUUUAAUGCUGCAGCCAAGACAACAGCACCAAGGGUAUCUGCUACUGCUUGAAGAUCUGUAACGUGGAGGGAGGUAGUUGUAACAUGGAAGGAGAUAGUUGGAACAUGUUCUUUAAAGAAGUUUUUGUGUUCCUUGGUGCAGUAAUUUACUAGAGGGUUUGGCUAUAAAGGAGAUGAUACACUUCUAAGAUGAGCUUCAUGAGAUUUUUGUCAAGGAUUUCCUUCUUGAAAUUUUGUCCAGUUCUCCUUGAUAGAGAGUCAUUUUUGGUUUGGUGGAUAGUGGUAAAGUUUUGUCUGGUUUACUAAUUUCAUCUCUGAUUCCCCAUUAUACUAAUUUCACUCGAGCAUCGAUCGUGACUAUACAUCACUGUCCACCUGAUUCCUGAUUUCUUUGCUUUUCUCAUUCUUCUUGAAAAUGAGACGAUGCUGCUGGAUUGAGAUUUUAAAAAUCCUCAGUUUUUGUUAGGUCGUCUUCAAAUUCACAUGUACCAUACAUUUCUCUUUUUCAUUCAUUUGCUUCUAAUUUCUGCUUGCCCUAUUUUUUUAAAUUCCAACAUUUGCUGUCCCUGCUGGAGAGGAUCAAAACCCUACAAAAAUUCAAUUGGAGAUUUGAGUAUUCAGGGUAUUUUGAAGAUUUUGUAUCUACAAUCUAUCAAUCAAUUCUUUGUACAUUAACUCAAUAUGAUGAUUUGAAUCUUGAAUUAACGUACUUGGAAUUGAAUUCAAAUUUUGAUUCUACUAAACCUAAAGUGAACGAGUUAGGCGAUGGAGAUGAUAUUAUAGUUUCUGGCGUUGGAGUAUCACAAUUUAUAAACUUUGACGACAACAGUUUGAGAAGUGAGGUUGAGGAAAAGCAUAGUUAGAAGUGGUGGAGAAUGAGGGUUAGUUGGAAUUUGGUGAAUAAAAAAAAUACCAGUAUUGGUUGGUCUUUCUUUUGCUUCUGCGGGUGAUGGGGACGAAGGAAUUAGAGAAGCUUCUCAAAUAAUGGCUUUUAUAUUUGGUUUCUCCAUUUUGCAGGUUAUUGAGUUUUCUUUUUCUUUUUUUUUAUGAGAGAAAAUUUUCUCAGGUUUUCUCGGAAGAGAAAGGCAGAGGGAUAUGUGAACAAGAAGUGAUGUGGUGGCUUUAAUGAUUAAAGAGGUAUUUGGUUUAAUUGUUG
This 1251-nucleotide unclassified non-coding RNA is filed under the name Hevea brasiliensis (rubber tree). Lineage: Eukaryota; Viridiplantae; Streptophyta; Magnoliopsida; Malpighiales; Euphorbiaceae. The record is from RNAcentral.